RNAcentral lists this ribosomal RNA (253 nucleotides) under uncultured bacterium. Its description in RNAcentral is "partial 16S ribosomal RNA". It matches the Rfam family "Bacterial small subunit ribosomal RNA", at positions 524 to 776 of the family's 1533-position model. The record is from RNAcentral.
UACGUAGGAUCCAAGCGUUGUCCGGAUUUACUGGGUGUAAAGGGUGCGCAGGCGGACUGGUUAGUCUGGGGUGAAAUCUCAUCGCUUAACGGUGAAACUGCCUUAGAUACUGCCAGUCUUGAAUCAGCGAGAGGUUCGUGGAAUUCCGAGUGUAGCAGUGAAAUGUGUAGAUAUUCGGGAGAACACCAGUGGCGAAGGCAGCGAACUGGCGCUCGAUUGACGCUCAGGCACGAAAGCAUGGGGAUCAAACAGG